RNAcentral lists this ribosomal RNA (141 nucleotides) under Melitaea cinxia (Glanville fritillary). Lineage: Eukaryota; Metazoa; Arthropoda; Insecta; Lepidoptera; Nymphalidae. The record is from RNAcentral.
UUAAACGUCCAUACCACGUUGAAUACACCGGUUUACCACGUUGAAUACACCGGUUCUCGUCCGAUCACCAAAGAUAAGCAACGUUGGGCGCGGUCAGUACUUGGAUGGGUGACCGCCGGGGAACACCGCGUGACGUUGGCU